AACGAACGCUGGUGGCGUGCUUAACACAUGCAAGUCGAACGAGAAAGUUUCCUUCGGGAAAUUAGUAAGGUGGCGCAAGGGUGAGUAACACGUGAAUAAUCUGCCCUCGAGAUCGGGAUAACAUGGUGAAAACUAUGCUAAUACCGGAUAAGACCACAUUUUAAAAAGAAAUGCGGUAAAAGGAGUCUCAAUCUUUACUCGAGGAUGAGUUCGCGCAACAUUAGCUUGUUGGUGAGAUAAAAGCUCACCAAGGCUACGAUGUUUAGCCGGCCUGAGAGGGUGAACGGCCACACUGGAACUGAGACACGGUCCAGACUCCUACGGGAGGCAGCAGUGGGGAAUAUUGCGCAAUGGAGGAAACUCUGACGCAGCCAUGCCGCGUGUGUGAAG
Molecule: ribosomal RNA, 390 nt
Filed under: uncultured Nitrospina sp.
Lineage: Bacteria; Pseudomonadati; Nitrospinota; Nitrospinia; Nitrospinales; Nitrospinaceae
Description: bacterial SSU rRNA
Rfam family: Bacterial small subunit ribosomal RNA
Source: RNAcentral